UCCGUAGGUGAACCUGCGGAGGGAUCAUUACCGAGUUUACAACUCCCAAACCCCUGUGAACAUACCUUAAUGUUGCCUCGGCGGAUCAGCCCGCGCCCCGUAAAACGGGACGGCCCGCCAGAGGACCCAAACUCUAAUGUUUCUUAUUGUAACUUCUGAGUAAAACAAACAAAUAAAUCAAAACUUUCAACAACGGAUCUCUUGGUUCUGGCAUCGAUGAAGAACGCAGCAAAAUGCGAUAAGUAAUGUGAAUUGCAGAAUUCAGUGAAUCAUCGAAUCUUUGAACGCACAUUGCGCCCGCUGGUAUUCCGGCGGGCAUGCCUGUUCGAGCGUCAUUUCAACCCUCAAGCCCCCGGGUUUGGUGUUGGGGAUCGGCUCUGCCUUCUGGCGGUGCCGCCCCCGAAAUACAUUGGCGGUCUCGCUGCAGCCUCCAUUGCGUAGUAGCUAACACCUCGCAUCUAGAACGCGGCGCGGCCAUGCCGUAAAACCCCAACUUCUGAAUGUUGACCUCGGAUCAGGUA
Molecule: ribosomal RNA, 521 nt
Filed under: Fusarium avenaceum
Lineage: Eukaryota; Fungi; Ascomycota; Sordariomycetes; Hypocreales; Nectriaceae
Description: eukaryotic LSU rRNA
Rfam family: 5.8S ribosomal RNA (bases 182-335)
Source: RNAcentral